Anguilla anguilla (European eel) is the source of this 2490-nucleotide RNA transcript. It is a transcript of the gene named calpain-2 catalytic subunit-like, with no coding region annotated. The record is from RefSeq and is a predicted model, not a curated record. NCBI's taxonomy places the organism in Eukaryota, Metazoa, Chordata, Actinopteri, Anguilliformes, Anguillidae. The transcript is spliced from 14 exons.
AGGCACACCUGAUUACACUCCCCUCCCCCUACUGCUCUUUAAAAGCAAGCGCUUCUUCUAGUGUGUGCCUAACACAACGCUUGCACGGACACACACGCAUCCACACACACAUGCUGGCACAGCUGACAAACACAAACACACACAGUCGACUAACAAAAGCACGCUAAACACACUGCUGACAUACAGACACACGCGCACAGCUCUUAAAUGGCAACACACUCACACGCUCGCACACAGGCUCAGGGGACCACCAUGGGGAGCAACGCGACCCACGUGUCCAGGAGGAUGGCCAGGGACGAUGACGAGGGUACCAACAAGAGGGCCAUCCAGUUCAACAACCAGGACUUCCAGAUGCUGCGGGACCAGUGCCUACAGAGCAGGAUCCUCUUCCGCGACGACGCGUUCCCUGCUCAGCCCGAGUCGCUGGGGUACAAGCAUCUGGGCCGGGACUCCCCUAAAACCCGGGGCGUGGUGUGGAAGAGACCCAGGGACAUUUGUUCAAACCCACAGUUCAUUGUCGACGGAGCGCAAAGAACAGACAUCUGCCAAGGAGACUUGGGAGACUGCUGGCUACUGGCUGCCAUUGCCUCCCUGACCCUGGAUCAAGACAUCCUGGCCCGUGUGGUCCCUCCUGGGCAGAGCUUUCAGGAGAACUAUGCUGGGAUCUUUCACUUCCAGUUCUGGCAGUUUGGCAAGUGGGUGGACGUGGUGAUCGACGACAAGCUGCCCACCAGAGACGGAAAGCUGCUGUUUGUUCAGUCGGCCGAGCGCUUGGAGUUCUGGAGCGCCCUGCUGGAGAAGGCCUAUGCUAAGGUGAAUGGCUCCUAUGAGGCGUUGUCGGGGGGGUCCUCCACAGAGGGCUUUGAAGACCUCACCGGGGGCAUUUCAGAGGUUUACAUGCUGGACACAGCACCCCCGUUCCUCUUCAAAAUCAUCCAGAAAGCCCUUCACCGGGGGUCCCUGCUGGGCUGUUCCAUCACUAAAACCAGUGCGGACGAGACAGAGGCCAGAACUCGGCAGAAGCUGGUGAAGGGCCACGCCUACUCUCUCAUUGCAGCUGAAGAGGUGCACUUGCGUGGGACCCCAGUGCAGCUGGUGAGGAUCAGGAACCCCUGGGGUCAUGUAGAGUGGAAUGGACCCUGGAGUGAUAACUCCAGAGAAUGGGACGGCGUUCGCCAAGAUGAGAAAGCCACGCUGAACUAUUCACCUGACGAUGGAGAGUUCUGGAUGGCAUACUCAGACUUCCUCAGGCAGUACUCUAAACUGGAGAUCUGUAAUCUCACGCCAGACACACUCACCAGUACCCAGGUCGGCCGCUGGAAUCACUGCCAGUUCGAGGGGACCUGGAGGGUGGGCUCCACCGCGGGGGGCUGCAGGGACAACCCGGCCACCUUCUGCUCGAACUCGCAGUUCUGGAUUCGGCUGAACACCGUGGACAAGGACCCCCACGACGGGAAGGACGGCUGCAGCUUCCUGGUGGGGCUCAUGCAGAAGGACUGUCGCAGAAAGUGCCGGGACUUCAACAGCAUCGGCUUCGCCAUAUACGAGAUUCCUGAUGAGUAUAAGGGCCGCUCUAAUGUGCUCCUUGGGCCGGACGUGUUGCUGCGGCAACGCGCCGUUGCCAGAUCCACCUUCGUUGACGAUCGCGAGGUGUGCGGCCGCUUCAAGGUCCCGCUGGGCGAGUACGCCAUCGUCCCCUCCACCUUCGAGCCGGACCAGAAGGGCAGCUUCAUCCUGCGGGUCUUUUUUUGAGAAGCAGGCUGCAGCCAGCCCCAUGGAAAAGGGCAUUAAUGCAGAUGUUGGCAAGCCUGGAAUCAAAGACGGUGAUGUGGACCCCCAUUUCAUCCCCCUGGGGUGGGCUCCCUUGCCCCCGCACAUGCAGUUCAUGCAGUUUGCCGUAAAUGUGGGUUUUAAUGUGUCUAACUAUUUUAAUUCAAAAGAUUAAGUUCUGUACUUUUACAAUAAAUAUAUGAACAUAUACUGCAUGUAUAGAAGUCAAUGGCAAGAUGCACCACAGUUAUAACUGAGGUUUAUUUACAAAAAAUUGUAAAUGUAUGUCUCUUGUGGCAACGACAGUUGUUUAUAUUGACCAGUAAAUAAUUCAUAAAAUGUUAUCCUCUGGUUAUUAUUAUGUCUCUCUUUGUUUCACUGUUAACAUCUGUUUAAAUUGUGACUUAGGCCCUGUUCAGACCUGGCAUUAAAAUGCGUCUUGGGUGAUCCGAUCACAAGUGGACACUCUAACUACAGGUGUGAAUGCACCCAAGACGCAUUGAGGACAAAUUGAGAUCCAAUCACUCAGACAACAUUUGGAGGUGGUCUUAAACUGUGUUGUAUUCAAAAGAGGCUGUCAUCUUAUUAACAUGGCAACUUAAUGAAUUGGAAAUAUCAUGCGUUUCUGUUGGCAUAAUUUUACUUUGAUUUGUUCUCAACUUCAGAAAUGUCAGAAUGUAAAACUAUGAAAAUGGAUGAAACUGCAAGAGAGAAAGGGGG